This 30-nucleotide non-coding RNA is filed under the name Mus musculus (house mouse). Lineage: Eukaryota; Metazoa; Chordata; Mammalia; Rodentia; Muridae. The record is from RNAcentral.
UGCUUACGUAACCCUGAGGUAAUCCUCUUU